AUAAAAAACCCUGGCGCGGUUGCAAAUCGGGUGAUACAUUGAGAUUUUUAAUUAUGCAUAGAGAAAUAAACAAAGAAACCAAGAUAUAAAAAUAAAACAAGAUAAAAUAAACCAGCCUAAUAAUAUAAAGCAAAUCUACCUAAUUUGAUUUUUUUCUUUUAUAAUAAAAGAAAAUCUUGACCAUCGGUUAGGGACUUUGGCGAAGGGUUCCAGCGAGGGAGAGCUCGUCGGCUAGGGUUCCGGCGAGGGCAAACCGGUGGCGGAAGAGCUCCGGCAACAAGAGGAACGGCGGAGACCGGCGUGGGGGACUCGCGGGUCUGGGUGCGGGUGUCGCGGGCGAGGGACUCCGAGCGCGGGCUGAAGCACGGCGGAGACGGCGUCGGGGCGGCGAGGCAGCAGGGAGCGUCGCGGGCGGCACGGCGAGAACGGGCAGGGAGACCUCGAACGCGGGCAGAGGCAAAGGCGGCGUCGGGGCUGCAUCGGGGCGGCGCAGCGAGACCGGCGGGCGGCGUCGCGAGCGGAGCAGGGGCUUCGACGCGUUCCGGCGAGGCAACGUCGGAUCCGGGCCGAUCUGGAGCAACGACGUCAGGGAGCAACUCCGGUGCGGCGGAUCGAGGUUGAUGCGGCAAAUCAGCGACGGCGGGGCAGCAGAAACGUCAGAUCGUCGCAGGAUCUGGGAGUUGCAGGCGGCGGGACCGAUCUGCUGGGUCUCCGGGCGCCGGGGCUCGCGGAUGAAGAUGCGGCGGCGGAACGUCGGGGGGGCAGCUCAGGCGAGGGGCGGCUUCGCGGCUUCGGGCGGACUUGCGCAGGCUCUCGCGGACGGAGGCCGGCGGCGGUGAGCAGCAGCGGCGCCGGCUGCUCUUCGGGGAAGAUGAACAGUAGCCGAUUAGGGUUUCGGCUACUUUUUAUUUUUUACUUUUUCCUCUCUCCACUCACUUUUGACCUUUUUCUCUCUUUUUACCAACGGAAAAGAAGCCCCCCAAUUUACC
RNAcentral lists this long non-coding RNA (989 nucleotides) under Eucalyptus grandis. Its description in RNAcentral is "long non-coding RNA (EGRA_LNC001203)". The record is from RNAcentral. Lineage: Eukaryota; Viridiplantae; Streptophyta; Magnoliopsida; Myrtales; Myrtaceae.